GGAGGUACCUUGGCUCUGCUCCCAACCAACUGUAUGACUUGGGGCAAAUCACUUUGCCUCUGUGAAGCUUAGUCUUUUCAUCUUUCAUUGGGUUAAAAGCUUGCUCAGGUCCAUGCAAGUCAAAGUACCACAAAACCUACCAGCUCUUUCUGCUAAUCUCUACUUAGCCUGAAAGGGGGUAGCAGGCAAGUGGUAUCCUCCAGUUAGCACACAUAUUUGUCACCACUGCAGAAAAAGGCCCACUCUGAAGGGGUCCCCGAGAUAAAAGGAGGCAGCGUCCAGCUGCACUGAUUGCAGAUGCUGAGGGAUUGUGAAGCCCACAAGAGACCCAUUGACUGGGACAAGUUUCCUGUCCGUGCUCAUUUUCAGGAAAAAAUAUAAAAGAAUCUCAAUUUAUCUUCUCCUUUGUUAUUUUCUUUCUUGCCAAAGAAUUGAAAGGCAAGACCAAGGAGCAGUGUUUCCAGGGGCGAGUUGGGAGGCAAAAAGAAAGAAGUACCUCUCGCGGGUUCCAACUUGCAGCGAGCAUCGCGGUCUUCGCAGCAGUGCCUCAAGCAUGGAGGAGAAUCGGACAGAUGUGGAAUUCGAAAGUCGGGCCUUUGGUUUUGUGGCAGCAUCAUCUGACAGGUAAGGAAAAAACAUGUAUUGUCUUUACUAGAGGGUGGAGAAUGAGUACGGUCACUUAACUAAAGAUGAGAAUCAGCAAAAGUAAAACACCCGGGUGAUGUUGUCAGAGACAAGAGCUUGAAGAUGCUUUGAUAAGCCACCCCUUCCACUAUGAAGACAGGCAGCCAAGGGCCAUCAAGGUGCAAACUGGCCUCCAGUCACCAUGUAGCCCCAGGCAGAGCCCAGACCCUCUGGCUUCGUCCAGUGUCCCUUCCAAUAUCCCAUCCUGCCUCCUCCCACAGUAAAAUGAAAGCUAGCAAACAAACAUCCACC
This 936-nucleotide long non-coding RNA is filed under the name Sus scrofa (pig). RNAcentral's name for it is "lncRNA (ENSSSCG00025018412.1, ENSSSCG00030028050.1)". The record is from RNAcentral. Lineage: Eukaryota; Metazoa; Chordata; Mammalia; Artiodactyla; Suidae.